Molecule: long non-coding RNA, 4118 nt
Filed under: Bemisia tabaci
Lineage: Eukaryota; Metazoa; Arthropoda; Insecta; Hemiptera; Aleyrodidae
Description: lncRNA ENSSSA1NGG003050
Source: RNAcentral
AUGCAAAAAUAUCUCAAACACUCUUCCUUCAAAACUGGCAUGAAACCAAAGCAUCCUGUUCGUUUAAAUGUGGUUACCACCUCGAAAAACCAAGACAAUAAAAUCAAUGGAGUUUACUCUGAGACUUUGACUAUCUCAGCAGAGGAUGAAUCGCCUGUAGAUUCUCAAAAUGAAAAACCAGGUGCAAAAUAUACUAGACUUCGAUUACAGUUAAAUGAAUUGAUGAAGAAACGAAGACAAGAGGAAUGGCAGAAACGGCUCAAAACACAUCAAGUGGAUGAAGAAGAGAUCGAAGAUGGCGAGAAAUCGGAAUGUGAAGCAUUGCUUGACGAUGAUGAUGAUUACGGUGAUUCUAACCAUCGUUUGACGGAGAGUGAAGACUCGGAUCUAGAGGAGAAUGAUAUUGAUUUGUCCGAGAAGAAGAAGAAGAAAAGUGCUUUUGUUGAUGAUGAAGCUGAGGAAGAUUCAGAUGAGGAUGAAGAUGACAAAGAUGAAAGUGAUGAAGAAGAUGAGGACAGUAGUAAAAUCAAAGAUAAGAAGGCAAAUAAAAUACGGAAACAAAAAGUCUUCAUAGAAGAGGAAGAGUAUGAGGGGGAUGAUGAUGAUGGAGACGAUGAUGAAAAGGAAACCGAUGUUAAUGAAGAUGAUAACUGGAUGCUAGGUCAAACCAAAUUUCGAUCACAGAUUACUCAGCAGGUUCUGACGGCUACUCAUACCCCUGAAGUAGCUGAAGCUAGAUUAAAUGAUUCAAAGUUUGAUAUGUCUUUUGAGACAAGCAAAUUUGGAUGCCUUGAUGAGACUGAGUUGAACAGAACUUCAAAUCAUGAAAUCUCUGGCAUUGAAGAUUUGAUCAAUGUAAAGAACUCAGAACUUGUCACUGAAAGCCAGGUCCUCGGUCUUUGCUCAGGUGCUUUUCAGACGCAACCACCACAGCCAUCAACAAUGGAUAAUGAGGAGGAAGAUCUUAAUUUUGUCAUGUCUCCAACUCCAGCAAGCACUCAAACCCAAGAUUCUCAGAAUCUAGGUAUGAAAAAGUUCAACCCUUGUCUUUCAAGUGAUGACGAAGAAGAGCCAGGCUUGACUGUCAAAAAGAAGAAGAAUACCCUAAAAUUUUCAGACGAUGAAGAUGAUACAUUGGACACAAAAGAAGAAGAAGUUGAAGAAAGCGACAAAGAAGACCCAGACUCCAUCUCUGUGUUAGAUGAGGAAGAUGAUAACCGAAGCGUCAUGUAUGAUUCUGAAGAAAACGAGAUCAAAGUAUCCAAAAAGAUGUUGGGCAGUUUUUUGAUAAAGAGGCUGAACUUUCAGAAUCAGAGUGGGAUUCGGAAGAUGAAGAUGAAAAAGGACUAGAUAGAAUGGACGAAGAACUUGGAGACCAAGAGAACUUUGAUGAGGAUGAGGUACAGAAACAACUGGGGAAAAUCCACAUGUAUGUAUUUCAUAUUUAAUUGGUCUUUUUUGUGAAUAUUUAUGAACCUUCACUUUCUACCAAAAGUAAGGGUCUUGUUGAAGAAGUUGGGGGUAAAUUGAACUCACUUUUUUCAAAUUUGUAUGCCAUUUAUAAUAUGCAGGGUGUCUACAGGUCCGGAAUUUCUGGAAAGUCCGGAAAUAGUACUGAUUUUUUAAGGGCGGUCCGAAAGUAAUGAAAAAGUGCAAGAUCCGGAAUUUGUUUCAUUUUUUGUCACCUUUGUUAAAAAAAAUUGAACAAACUUAAGAGAAUAAGAAGCAGAAAAAAUUAAGAGGCAUAGUUAGACUUACACAACUUUUUGUGGGAGUCUCGUUUAUAUCUCUCCGUUAAUCGAUAAAAAAGUUGAUGAAGUUAGUGCUGUUGCUGCACAUUAUGUAGUAUUAACGUACAAGUUACCUGGGAUUAUAUGGUGUAAUUCUAUGGAAUUAAGCAAGAUUUUAUUGAACAAAUGUUAGGGAGGAGAUGUCAAGAGCAUUUAAUUUUCACAAUUUCAUUAGAUCUUGUCUUACCUUUGUUGAAAAUUUUUUGCGGAAACCUCAAGGUCAAUAAAAUAAUAUUAUGAUCAAAUUUGUGGAAAAUUAAAGCAUAAGGAAGCUUGAGAAAUUUACGGUAAGUAACUUAAGAUGAUCAUUGAGAACAGAGAGGCAUGUCUUCAAGGAUGAGCAGCCGCAAAAUUUUUCCAUGGAAAUGACACAAUGUACCUUUAAUGAUAAAGAAUUCCCAGGUGUUUUCUCCGCCUUAAUGAAGAAUCGGACCAGAUUAUGCCCUAUAGCUGGUUUCACACCAAUUUUUGAUGCUCACAAUGGAGGGAUGUGUACUAGCUCUAUUAUUUAAACACUUUGUAAAUUGACGGUGAAACUUCAGAAAUGGGUAUCUUGGUUGCGGUGUUUCUGAAUCUCCACUCCUAUUUUAUUUUUUAAAAGGAAAGCGAACUAACAUCAUAGCCUGAAAUGUUCACAGAAUAUUCUUCUCAUAGAGGAAAAAACAUCACAGAAGUUUUCAGGAAAUGACAUUAAGUAGUUUUCCCUGUGGAAAGUAAAGUUUGACUGGAAGUCUACAAUGUGGCGAACCAAGAUAUGCAUGGCUGCAGUUUUACUAUUGAUAUGUUUUAAAUUUUUGGUUGAAUUGAUAAGUUCAGACUUCCUUUAUUUUGAUGGAGCAUUGAUUAUUUUUGAUGCCAACAAAAGCAUGCAGAGUAUAUACCAAUACAUCAUUUAAAAACCUAUAAUAGAAUGAUGAGUCAGCCUCAGUGGUGUAGUGGUCAAGGCAGUUCGCUGCCAACACUGAGGUCCCGGGCUCAAUCCCCGGAGGUGACUGAUCAGUCAUCAAGACCGUGGAUGACUAUGCCACUCCUAUACCCUGACCCUUUGAGGUAACAGGGUGCGGGAGGGACAUAGUCACCCAGUAAGUAAUCCGUCUGCACUGUUUGACUGGGUUGUGAAAAAAUCGGUAAUCACUCGUAGUGUGCGCGACUGCCAGCGCUGCUUAUCAGGGGAGAUAGCAACAACACAAUCCAACUCGGUGGAGGCAUGGCCAAGCUCCGAAAAUCCGUGCUCUGCAGCAUCUGCCAAAGUCUUCGAUAAGACCUACCGUUGGCUAUCAGACGGCCGCUGAGCCUUGCGGGAAUAUAGAGGAUACACUAAGUGUCAAUGGUAUGAGGUUAAAGAGCACGGUCCAACUUCGGGUUGCACAGCGGCAGUUGCCAGUUGCCUUGGCCCCUUGAGGACGCCUCGCUGGUCAGCCCGGCCUUACUUACUUAUUUACUUAAUAGAAUGAUGAUUUCAUCUACAUACAUCAUGCCAAUGCCAUUGUUUUGCAACGCCUCAGUCAUAGGUACAAGUGAUUAAUCAACAUGACACUUUUGAGGUGGAAAACGCGCAAAAAUUACCAAGAUUAAGAAAGAGAAUAAAGGAAAUAUGAAUUAGACUUAGUGUAAUACUAAUUAACCAAAGAAACUUUCAUUCUCUUCCAUAGGCGACAGCUUCUUGAUGAUGACCAAAGAGACAUCAAAUUGCUUCAAGAGCGGUUUUUGGAAGAUGGAGAGUUGCAUUCAGAAGGUGGAAGGGAGAAGAACUUCCGAUGGCAAAAUAUUAACAGCGCAGCCCUAGAAGCUUGGAGUCAACGAAGAGAUUCAGAUGAUGAAGAACCACAAGAAGAGGAAGAGGGAAAUGAACAAAGUGAAGAACUUUGGCGGAAAAUGAGAGCAGAGAGGGAUGCUUUCUUUAAAAAAUGAAGAAGGUGAGCGGUUAUUUGAGACAACCGAGAAUGAUUCAACUAGCUAACACUUUUGCCUGCAGCUCUAUUGGUAUUGAACUUUUUGCUCUGUUAUUUUUCCCACUGAUCGAGUUUUGCAUCGUAGCAAUUGAAGGAGUAUCAAUGGGCUAUCAGACGAAGUGCGAAUUUAAACAUUAUGAUUUAUGUUUUCUAAUCAAAAUUCCGUUUCAAACACAAUUCGUACAAGGAAAAUCAUCAAAAGUAACUCAAGACCAAGAUAUUAACGUUUUUCGAGGCAUAAAUUUAAACUUCCCGCUCUUGAAAAAAACCACAAUCCACUUGAGUUAAAUUGAAGUUAAUUGAGUCACAUUAUUGUACUUCACCACAACAGUUUUUUGGAUAUGAAAAUAUGGCAACUUCAAUCUCCGCGCUUCAG